Molecule: ribosomal RNA, 238 nt
Filed under: uncultured bacterium
Lineage: Bacteria
Description: partial 16S ribosomal RNA
Rfam family: Bacterial small subunit ribosomal RNA
Source: RNAcentral
AAGUCUACGGGGGGCAGCAGUGAGGAAUAUUGGUCAACGGGCGCAAGCCUGAACCAGCCAAGUCGCGUGAGGGAUGACGGUCCUAUGGAUUGUAAACCUCUUUUGUCGGGGAGCAAGGCCCGCCACGUGUGGCGGGAAGGAGAGUACCCGAAGAAAAAGCAUCGGCUAACUCCGUGCCAGCAGCCGCGGUAAUACGGAGGAUGCGGGCGCUAUCCGGAUUUAUUUGGUUUAAAGGGUG